RNAcentral lists this ribosomal RNA (465 nucleotides) under uncultured bacterium. RNAcentral's name for it is "partial 16S ribosomal RNA". It matches the Rfam family "Bacterial small subunit ribosomal RNA", at positions 338 to 795 of the family's 1533-position model. The record is from RNAcentral.
CCUACGUGUGGCAGCAGUAGGGAAUCUUCCACAAUGGGCGAAAGCCUGAUGGAGCAACGCCGCGUGGGUGAAGAAGGUCUUCGGAUCGUAAAACCCUGUUGUUAGAGAAGAAAGUGCGUGAGAGUAACUGUUCACGUUUCGACGGUAUCUAACCAGCAAGCCACGGCUAACUACGUGCCAGCAGCCGCGGUAAUACGUAGGUGGCAAGCGUUAUCCGGAUUUAUUGGGCGUAAAGGGAACGCAGGCGCUCUUUUAAGUCUGAUGUGAAAGCCUUCGGCUUAACCGGAGUAGUGCAUUGGAAACUGGGAGACGUGAGUGCAGAAGAGGAGAGUGGAACUCCAUGUGUAGCGGUGAAAUGCGUAGAUAUAGGGAAGAACACCAGUGGCGAAAGCGGCUCUCUGGUCUGUAACUGACGCUGAGGUUCGAAAGCGUGGGUAGCAAACAGGAUUAGAUACCCUUGUAGUC